This 1712-nucleotide long non-coding RNA is filed under the name Bemisia tabaci. Its description in RNAcentral is "lncRNA ENSSSA3NGG000309". The record is from RNAcentral. Lineage: Eukaryota; Metazoa; Arthropoda; Insecta; Hemiptera; Aleyrodidae.
GGGAAGUAAUGGUGGGGGAUACCAGUGAGGUGAUAAAAAAAAGGGGUAGUUGUUUUGUUUUGGGGUGUUAUCAGUGCUCAAAGUACGAAAACACGCCAAACACGGAUAUCUCCGCAUUCUGUAGUUAAAUUGUGUUAAUUUUCCGAUAUUACAGCAUUCUUUAUCACAUUGAUGGCUCUAAUUUUAGAGUCUGAAUAAAAAUGUAGGUUUUUCGAGCAAUUUUUCUGAAUUUGAGUCAGUGAGCGUUGAGCGAUGGUUCGCGAGUGACAACGUAGCAAGGAAACAAACGAAAUUAAUUUGAGGUUAAUUUCCUCUCGUCAGCAAAAGUGCAAAACAGAGACUUUACUUUUAUUAAAAUACGAUUAUGACGACUUACACACAUUUUUAAACAGUGUCAUAGUGUCUUUAUGAAGAAGCUCAACGUUUUAUCCUCUGAUAGUGGUCAGAGAUAAAAAAACCUAAUUCUUGUCUCCCCUCUUUUUUUUCCAGCAUCAAGUGACAUGUCGUCCCUAAAUCUUUGAUCUUACCUAUAUUACUGCUUGUGUGUCUCGCCAAAUAUUUGCAAAUGGUGGUUGCAGGUAAUGUAUGAAACAUCGCCUUUAUAGUCAGGAAAUAAAUAGUGACAGCUACAUUACAAAAAGUGCAGAUCCACUAUCAUGGCUGAUUCUGAUAGUGACCAGUUUGAAAGUGCAGAUGAAGAACUCUCCGAUAACGAAGAGCCUAAAACACCUCUUAGUCUGAGUAGUGCAGCGUAUGCCAACAAGGCGACAUCAGAUGAGGCUCAUGAAAUUGUUCAGCCUCAAAGCAAUAAGAAAAAUAUCAGCGCUCGUCUUCAAGAAUUGAGGCUACAUGAAAGCACAACAAACGUAGAAGAAUCUCUUGCUAGAAAGCCUAACCAAAAGAAUGAGGAAAUACCCCCUGCCUCAUCUGUGUUGGAGACAAAGGUUUCAGGCACGCGCGAAGAAGUUGUUACAAAGCCAUUUUCAAGUACAGCUGCUCACAACUUAGAAGAUGAGACACUAGACAGUCAUGCUAAGGAAGUCACAUCAUCAGCUAUUGAAGUAACCACCACUAAAACUUCUACUGCACAACCAAUUAAUCAGAAUGAGAAGAUCUCAAAACUUGAAACAGAUAAUUCCUCCUAUUUAAAUCAACAGGAGCUAGAUGUGCUUCGCUGUCGAAAAGACAACGAAAAGUUUGGAGAUGAGGGUUGGGACGUAGAGCCUCUGUCGGACAAUGAUUUAACUUCCCAAACUCCAAAGUGCGUUCUCCAAACUAAAAUAGCCACUACUGUUGUCAACUCUGAUGUGGUAAAAGUAAAACAACCAGAAGAACAGGUACAAAAUGUCAGAGAAGGUUCAGAGUCGACAAGCAGUGGAAAUUCUAAUCAACUUCCUUCUCAGUCAUCUUUGAAAAGUUCUUCCCUACAAAAUUCUGAGCUCUCUCUCCCAAAUAACGAUAGAACUGUACCUGAAAGUUCACAGAAUGAUGGAUGGGAUGAUGAUUUUGAAAUCGAAGAUGAUUUGAUCGAAGCCAAGUUAUCAUCAAGAGAAACUGUAGUCCUAUUGGAGUCAGGAAUUACAACAAACCUUGAAGACGAUGAAGGGUGGAAUGAUGGAUGGGACACAGACGAGGUGACUUUUCACCUGAACCAUCAGAAACUGAAAAAUCUAAAAAAGGUUCGGAGCCUCCAAAGACAUCACAACCGAUAA